Molecule: non-coding RNA, 1369 nt
Organism: Odocoileus virginianus texanus
Lineage: Eukaryota; Metazoa; Chordata; Mammalia; Artiodactyla; Cervidae
Source: RefSeq, a predicted model, not a curated record
CAGUAGUACCUGAUAUCACUAAUUGGCUGCCUUUGGAACAUGCUUCUCCACCGGGCCCAUUUCUUCUUUAGGUGUUCCUCCCCCUGGGCACAGGACAAAGUUGACAAUUCGGAUUCUAGAACACAAGAGCUGGUUCAGAACGGUCCUCUGUCUGGCCGGGUUCCAGGCCCCUGUUCAUCCUGACAGAGCCCCCAGACCACCAGCCGGGACUGCCUGACCAGAGCCCAGAAUCCAGGACUCAUGUGGGAGCGCACCUCCUCAAAUCUUCCCAGGGUCCAGCUGCACCGUGGUUGCAGGGUGGGCCUCCCUCAGGGUGGUCUCUCUAGUCCCAGGGCCCCAGUGCUCAGCCCUACAAUUGACCGUCCAGCUUCCUCCCGGAUUCCCCACCUCCAAUCAGACCUCCCACCUGGAGCCCCAACAUGUUCAGAGCACACCCUUUAAAUCCCCCUUACACCCCUGUGAGCCAUUUUGCCUACAGGAGACUGAAACUCAGAGAGGGUGAGUAACUCAGAGAGUCUGGCCAAGGCCACACAGCCAGGAGGUGGCACAUCCAGGCAUCUGACUAGAGAGUCCUGCUCCUCUGGAACACCUCCUAUGAGGCACAGCCUCCCGAGUAUCUCAGGGCCUCCCACAGCCUGCUCCUUCCAGGCCCCAGCGUGGCGCCUCUGCUCAUGUGUUCUUCCAAACCAGCCAGUCCUCCUGGACUCACAGGAAGCCCCCCUCCAUUGCCUCAUAUCCCAACUCCCAGAGUGUUCUUUACUGACCUCCCUGACUGGCCCCAGGCUGGCUUCUGGUCUGCAUCUGGGGACAUGGUCACACGUUUUCCAGUAUUACCGACAUGUGGAAGGCUGUCACCUUCAGUCGGCACCAAGAUCUGGAGACUCUCUUCUCCCUGAGGGUGAAGCGCAGACGGAACAGAGGCUGGCGCUCGUUGCCACAGUAGAGCGCCUCCCAGGCUGGGUGCUCAGCACCAAAGGGAUGGUUUCCGGUGGGGCUACGUGCACACUGAGGCCGCAGCACAAGUGGCUGGCAAAGGUUCGUUUGGAAACACACAAAGAGCACCCCAAAUUCAUGAGAAAAGGCAGGCAGCCCUGUGAAAAUGGGCCAAAGAUGCAAAUGGACACUUCACAGAAGAGGAGCACCCAGAAGGUGAAAACAUGGAACUCCAACGUGGAAACCGUUUGGAAAAUGCAGGCUAGGUGACCAAGCAGGCACCACCAUCCACCCAUUUGGUAGCAAACAUUUUACGGUCAGACAGUGUUAACCAUCCAGGUAUGGGAGCUCCCAGCAGCCCAGUGAUUAGGACUCGGCACUCUCACUGCCGGGGCCUGGGUUCAGUCCCUGGUCAGGUAACUGAGACCCUGCAAGC